Anneissia japonica is the source of this 575-nucleotide long non-coding RNA. RefSeq lists it as uncharacterized. The record is from RefSeq and is a predicted model, not a curated record. NCBI's taxonomy places the organism in Eukaryota, Metazoa, Echinodermata, Crinoidea, Comatulida, Comatulidae. The transcript has 3 exons.
AUAAACAUUACUCAAUGGACUACGAAGGAGACUUUACAAUUAAUAACAAAUCUCAAGACAGACAGUGUAUAAAUUGGACCUCAUUGGAAAUGGGCUGGACUCCGGCCUAAUGGGCGUUCCUGAUGCUCAUUACGUGAUGUAGACAAAGAAGCCACAACUAGGGCCUAUCAGGAAAGAAUGUGCGGACUCAAUCGUGAAAGGGCAACAGAACUUACCAAUUAGACCUAUUCAUAGAUAGCCAAAUAUGUUGUCACUCAUCAAACUUAAGCUUCCUGCAAAAAUUCUGGACAUGAAAUUAAUUAAAAUAUAGUGUAAAUUUUAUUUUUUAAAUGUUUCCUCGGCAAUAAUCUCAAACAUAAUGUUAGCAAUAUGUAGUCAUUCUUGUUGGCUUUAUGUUUAUUAAUAUUGUAUUAUUACUGCAAUGUUUAUCUUAUUAAUAGAGAAAGUAACCCGUUUGUUGUAAAGAGUAAGAUAAUAAGAUAUAACAUUUUGAGGAUUAAAAUCAGAUUUAGUGGUUUUUGCCGGAUGUACAUGAUAUAGGCCUACAGUAUAUGAAUAUAAAAUGUAUAUAUAUA